This 1538-nucleotide ribosomal RNA is filed under the name Escherichia coli. Its description in RNAcentral is "partial 23S ribosomal RNA". It matches the Rfam family "Bacterial large subunit ribosomal RNA", at positions 1273 to 2796 of the family's 2925-position model. Lineage: Bacteria; Pseudomonadati; Pseudomonadota; Gammaproteobacteria; Enterobacterales; Enterobacteriaceae. The record is from RNAcentral.
CUGGAGGUAUCAGAAGUGCGAAUGCUGACAUAAGUAACGAUAAAGCGGGUGAAAAGCCCGCUCGCCGGAAGACCAAGGGUUCCUGUCCAACGUUAAUCGGGGCAGGGUGAGUCGACCCCUAAGGCGAGGCCGAAAGGCGUAGUCGAUGGGAAACAGGUUAAUAUUCCUGUACUUGGUGUUACUGCGAAGGGGGGACGGAGAAGGCUAUGUUGGCCGGGCGACGGUUGUCCCGGUUUAAGCGUGUAGGCUGGUUUUCCAGGCAAAUCCGGAAAAUCAAGGCUGAGGCGUGAUGACGAGGCACUACGGUGCUGAAGCAACAAAUGCCCUGCUUCCAGGAAAAGCCUCUAAGCAUCAGGUAACAUCAAAUCGUACCCCAAACCGACACAGGUGGUCAGGUAGAGAAUACCAAGGCGCUUGAGAGAACUCGGGUGAAGGAACUAGGCAAAAUGGUGCCGUAACUUCGGGAGAAGGCACGCUGAUAUGUAGGUGAAGUCCCUUGCGGAUGGAGCUGAAAUCAGUCGAAGAUACCAGCUGGCUGCAACUGUUUAUUAAAAACACAGCACUGUGCAAACACGAAAGUGGACGUAUACGGUGUGACGCCUGCCCGGUGCCGGAAGGUUAAUUGAUGGGGUCAGCGCAAGCGAAGCUCUUGAUCGAAGCCCCGGUAAACGGCGGCCGUAACUAUAACGGUCCUAAGGUAGCGAAAUUCCUUGUCGGGUAAGUUCCGACCUGCACGAAUGGCGUAAUGAUGGCCAGGCUGUCUCCACCCGAGACUCAGUGAAAUUGAACUCGCUGUGAAGAUGCAGUGUACCCGCGGCAAGACGGAAAGACCCCGUGAACCUUUACUAUAGCUUGACACUGAACAUUGAGCCUUGAUGUGUAGGAUAGGUGGGAGGCUUUGAAGUGUGGACGCCAGUCUGCAUGGAGCCGACCUUGAAAUACCACCCUUUAAUGUUUGAUGUUCUAACGUUGACCCGUAAUCCGGGUUGCGGACAGUGUCUGGUGGGUAGUUUGACUGGGGCGGUCUCCUCCUAAAGAGUAACGGAGGAGCACGAAGGUUGGCUAAUCCUGGUCGGACAUCAGGAGGUUAGUGCAAUGGCAUAAGCCAGCUUGACUGCGAGCGUGACGGCGCGAGCAGGUGCGAAAGCAGGUCAUAGUGAUCCGGUGGUUCUGAAUGGAAGGGCCAUCGCUCAACGGAUAAAAGGUACUCCGGGGAUAACAGGCUGAUACCGCCCAAGAGUUCAUAUCGACGGCGGUGUUUGGCACCUCGAUGUCGGCUCAUCACAUCCUGGGGCUGAAGUAGGUCCCAAGGGUAUGGCUGUUCGCCAUUUAAAGUGGUACGCGAGCUGGGUUUAGAACGUCGUGAGACAGUUCGGUCCCUAUCUGCCGUGGGCGCUGGAGAACUGAGGGGGGCUGCUCCUAGUACGAGAGGACCGGAGUGGACGCAUCACUGGUGUUCGGGUUGUCAUGCCAAUGGCACUGCCCGGUAGCUAAAUGCGGAAGAGAUAAGUGCUGAAAGCAUCUAAGCACGAAACUUG